RNAcentral lists this ribosomal RNA (450 nucleotides) under uncultured bacterium. RNAcentral's name for it is "partial 16S ribosomal RNA". It matches the Rfam family "Bacterial small subunit ribosomal RNA", at positions 354 to 796 of the family's 1533-position model. The record is from RNAcentral.
GUGGGGAAUCUUCCGCAAUGGACGAAAGUCUGACGGAGCAACGCCGCGUGAGUGAUGAAGGUCUUCGGAUUGUAAAGCUCUGUUAAUCGGGACGAAAGAGCCUAGUGUGAAUAAUGCUAGGAAGUGACGGUACCGGAAUAGAAAGCCACGGCUAACUACGUGCCAGCAGCCGCGGUAAUACGUAGGUGGCAAGCGUUGUCCGGAAUUAUUGGGCGUAAAGCGCGCGCAGGCGGAUCUGCCAGUCUGUCUUAAAAGUUCGGGACUUAACCCCGUGAUGGGAUGGAAACUACAGAUCUAGAGUAUCGGAGAGGAAAGUGGAAUUCCUAGUGUAGCGGUGAAAUGCGUAGAUAUUAGGAAGAACACCAGUGGCGAAGGCGACUUUCUGGACGAAAACUGACGCUGAGGCGCGAAAGCCAGGGGAGCGAACGGGAUUAGAAACCCCUGUAGUCC